Long non-coding RNA from Oncorhynchus tshawytscha (Chinook salmon), 5429 nucleotides. The record is from Ensembl. Lineage: Eukaryota; Metazoa; Chordata; Actinopteri; Salmoniformes; Salmonidae.
UACAGUUUUUGUCUCCUGUUUUUUAUUUAUUUGGAUGAAUGAAACACUUUCAGUUACAAAAAUGACGUUAAAUGAACAACACUGUACUAUGAACAAGCAGAGAUAUUUUUCUUGUUUUUUGUUUUUGUUUUAAAGAUAAACACAGUAAAAGGCUAAGUUGCUACCACAAGGAAGAAGGGAGGGAGAGACAGAGAGAAGGGAGAGAAAAGAGGAGGACUGCUCACAUGAUGUAAGACACAUGAUGGUAGAACAAAUGAUGGGAGCGAGGAUAAGGAUACACACACACACCAAAAUGGAUAGGGAAACAAACAACAAAGGUUGAAGGUCAGACAGAGGGAAAUUAACUACAUGGUGACUAACAGUAAAUCCCCAAUCAAGCCAAUGUUUACAAACCUGUUGCUUAUCUAACAGAUGAAAUACAUUUUGAGGCGAGCGCACACACACACACACACACACACACACACACACACACACACACACACACACACACACACACACACACACACACACACACACACACACACACACACACACACACACACACACACACACACACACACACACACACACACACACACACACACACACCUACACCUUGGGGACUUAUUUCCACAGAACAGUUAUAGCAGUUAUGACAGUUUUCCCUCCUCCCUCCGUUUAUUAACCCCUCCCCACAAACCACCAAAGAAGUCUGGAAUUCCCUGGGAAAACUCUCCUUAACGACUCGUACAGAAUUCUCCCACAAACAUCACAUUUUCGGUUGAAACAUGUAGCUUUUCCCUCUGCCCAAUGAACACAGAGGACAACAUGGAAUACAAACAGACAUACAGGAAUACAGACAGUGGUAAGGGACAGACAGACAGAACUAAAAGGACAGGGUCAACAAACCCCGAGAGGAUCAUGGGAUCAUCAGAAUUACUCUGGCAGCACGAGCAAAAAGGACGAAUCUCAAAAAAGAUCAGAACAACUACAGAGAUACCAAGAGAAACGUCAUUAUCGUCAUCAUCAUAUUUACGAGAAGCUUAAGGUAAUUUUCCAAUGACAAAUACUUAAAAAUAUACAUUUUUAUCAUUAUCUUAAUCAUCAUUAUUAUCAUCAUUGAUAUAGCUGAGGUCAGAAACUGGGUUACUAGGUGACGGGGUUGGAGCAGAAAAGAUAUGAAUAGACAGAAAUGAGAGAAAGAAAGAGGGAUGCAGUGGCUGUCUGUGAAAGAGGAGGAAUGUCGAACUCUUUGGUUUUAUUCUGUAGGAUCGGACUUUGCUGUCUUGCUUAAGGAACUUUGGACUGAAGCUGUAUUGUACAAGAGAGAGAAUGAAGACAGAAGAAAGGAUGAAAGAGAGGGAGUGUGGAAGUGAGUAGGUACGAGGAAUAUCAGUCAUCCUCCUUUUUUGUUUCUUUGCUCCUGAUAUUGUCUUUUUGUCCCCCUUUGCUUUCUCCUGCCUUGACAUCUACACAAUGUUCUGUCAUCUAUCAGUAAACUGUUAAUCAUUGCCUGUUCUGCUCCAAUUUAAAUCAAUUCCAGCCUGGUCUCAUACCAAACGUAACAUGUACUAAUUACACUGUCUCGGAUUUACAUUUACUAUGUUACGUCUAUCCUUGAGUCCAGGUUGCAAUAUCGAUUCCUACAUUUCACAGUUUCCUUUGUUUCUCAUUUGACACGGUUGCUAAGGUGUUUCACUGAGACUACAAGGAAUUAAUCCAUUAACUGAAUCAAUGUUGUGAUGUUCAGACUGUACAAAUGUACAAAAUGGUUAAUGCCAAAGAUGUCUGGAGAUGUUCUUCCAGACUAAACUCUGCUGUGAUAAUGUUGACCCAGGCUAUAGUAAAGGGAGUAGGAUUUGUUGCCUCUAGGUGCUGAUCUAACGUCAGUUUUGUGUUCUCCCUACACUAAUAGCUAUGAUUAGGGAAAGGUUAACAGAUCCUAGAUCUGCACCUAUGGCCAGGUGACUACUCUAGUCUAUAGGAGAGGUGUAGUCUCUGAAUGGACAAAUCACAUUUUAUUGGUCGCGUACACAUAUUUUGCAGAUGUUAUCGCGGGUGUAGCGAAAUGCUUAUGUUCCUAGCUCCAACAGUGCAGACACUGGUAAACAGCAGGGUUUUAGGGAGUGAGUGCAUGGUGCCGUAUCCAACAGUGGGGCAUAAACUUUGGUAUCAUUCUCUUGUGGGGGUAUCCCUACUGGAAGGACUUACACUUUACAUGUGAUCCCUAAGACCCUGAGAUCCACAGAAGCAUCCUACCAGGAUGAAGAGGACCUAAACUGAUCUACACCUCAUUACAGAAGGAAAGAGCAAGGGAGAAAUAGGGACUUCCACCUUGGGGGAGUGUAUGCAUGCGUCACCUAGCAACCACAGUCUCAGCCCUAUCCCCAGUCACCUACCCCUCUGCGCUCGCUGCCACACACAUCUCUGACGGACACAAAAUCCAGUCAAUAAUCUAAACAACACAACAUCCAGCCAAUCACCUAAAGAUGCUGGGUACCCAGAGGCUAGCCCCUGUAAAAAAGCUUUGUGUUAAGGAGUAGGACAAAGCUGCUCCAUAGACACUGACCUAAGGCCAGUGUUAUGUGCCCUCAAUGGUUAAGAUUAGGAUUUGGAGGAAGGUAAACUGAUCCUAGAUCUGUGUCUAAGGAAAACGUAUACUUGGAGAGUGUUUCGUUUCAGCAGGGAGGGAGCAGUAGGGGAGAGGGGGAUGGAGAGAGGGCUGUACAGAGCAGGUGGGUUGUUCUACAGACCAGACUGAGAGGGAGGUGUGUGGGGGAGUGGACUGGGAACCACAGCGAGAGGGCUGGCAUACAACUUGCUACCCAAAAUGUCUCCUAUUUGGAUGGGGCACAAGAAAUGUGAACUCUGACCCCAUUACCUUUGAACUCUGCCGGACCCAAGCCUCGCUCUGGCCAUUCAUGGUCACACUCACACGUACACACAGUCCCACCCCACACCCCGAUCCCCAAACAAACCCCGCUUUUUUUGUAAAGCUUUCAUCUAUUUGGUUUAUCAUCAGAGUAUAUGAGGUAUAUCUCUCUUUAACAUCCUACAGUAGAUGUGGGAAACAAAACCUACCAACAUUAAGAAAAGUCCAAACAGAAAGAAAAGAAAACAAGUCCCUCUGUCACGUUCCUUUGCCCCAGUCAAUGCAUCUUCUGACUCGUUUUUUGGUUUGGUAGCUGUUUAAAGCUUUCAGUGUAUUUCUCAUGAGGAGAGGAGAGGUUGUGAGGGAACAGCACUGUAUCUUUAAGAACAAUCUGCCUACCUGACCAUCCCUGUCAGCGCAGCUCUCUUCCAGAACCGUUGGGCUAUAUUCAAACAUACAUUAUACUAGCUUAUAGGCAGCGCUGACUACGUGUACAUCCGGGAUAUAAUCCCUCUAACCUGAUCCGUCCAAAGUAUAUGGUAUACAUCGUAAUAGGAACAAACUCCAGUUCUAAAGAUUUGAGAUUUAUUAAUACAAUGUUUUAAAAGUUUCACUCAUGACUGGUUUGAUCCCACCUGGGUGUGGGUCUCCAGUAACAAUCCUGGACUGUAGUAAGGCUGUAGAGAACCCUACUGAGGCUCCCUAUCCCCCCUUCAACUAUACACAACAUCACAAGACCGCACAUAAAGCCAGAAACACUCAGAUGCUCUGUCCCUCCUCAUCUCACCAGUCAUUACUCAUCAAUCAUACAAUAAGGACAUCACUAGUAAUAUCAUUAUCAUGAGGACAAUUAACCCCAUAUUUAGGAAAGACAGCAUUCAACACCUGAAAACAUUGAAUUGCUCAAAUUUACAUCAAUAUGAAGCUGACGUUCCUAUUCCCAUGACCUUGCCCUGCAAUGCCUGAGAAAAUGCUGUUAGGUGGUCAUACUGAAGUGCUCUAUGUAGACACAGUGCUGACCCCUGUAAGCUCACCCCAUCCAUUUGAAAAGAGUCUCAAUGAGCUCACCCCCACCCCUUUAAGAGCUUUAAGAGUAGUCGCAGUGAGUCUGUGGUCAAACAUGACCAUGUUCUCCUAGGCCCCGUGAGACCUGUGGUUGCAUGUAUCUGGUUUGAAGAGGUGAGAAGGUACUUCAGCAGGAUUUUUGGUCACAGCCCCGUAAUAUAUAUUCUAAAUAUAUACCCCAAAAUUUAUCCCCUGUAAAAAGACUCUAGAAUAAAUAAAUAACAAAUAAAUAGUUAGAAGAAAUCAAUAUAAGCUUAAAUCAAUCAAACUUAAAAGGAAUAAAUAGUACAAUCAAUCAAAAGUCCUAAAUGAUUCGACAAAGAAAAAUAAACCAUAUAUUUAUCAAGAGAGAGUAACAUUUUUGGUCUAAAAUCAAGUCAUUAUCAUCAAUGUUUUUUAAGAUAUUUUUUGUAUGUUUUUCAAUACAUUAGCAAUAAGUAAGCAUUAGGACACAGAUCUUUGUUUCUACAAAAUCUAUAGAAGCACUAACAGAUACAUUCCGUCUAAGAGUUAAUGUUGAGGAAAGGUUUCACCUCGUGGUUAGAACCCCCACAUCUAAAAUAGAUUAGUUCAUUAAGGAUUCUCAUUUGACAACUGUAUUUCUGUGUGUCAAACCAAAUACUCUUUGGAUGCAUUUUAAACUCGACUGUACAUUUUUGCCGAAGUGUGUGUGUGUGAUAAUGGCGGUAAACGUGCAAGGGAGGACAUCUUUGUAAACUCCACUGAAUUCUUUCUAUAAUGCGUGUGCACACAACACACACACACACAAUAUCGCACCCUCACACAACGCACAUACGCACACACUUCAGAUCAAUUGACACAAUCAUAAGUGUGAGCCCUAAUGCAACGGCAGGGACGGCAGUUGAACCAUCUCUAGUUUUAUCCUGCCUUUUUGGUUUGGUUUGGUAUUUGGUAUUUGGUAUUUGGUGUUUGGUAUUUGGUUUGGUAUUUGGUGUUUGGUUUGGUGUUUGGUUUGGUGUUUGGUUUGGUGUUUGGUCUUUGGUUUGGUUUGGUGUUUGGUGUUUGGUUUGGUGUUUGGUGUUUGGUUUGGUUUGGUAUUUGGUGUUUGGUUUGGUAUUUGGUGUUUGGUUUGGUAUUUGGUGUUUGGUUUGGUAUUUGGUUUGGUAUUUGGUGUUUGGUUUGGUAUUUGUUUUGGUGUUUGGUUUGGUAUUUGGUUUGGUAUUUGGUGUUUGGUUUGGUUUGGUAUUUGGUGUUUGGUUUGGUUUGGUAUUUGGUGUUUGGUUUGGUAUUUGGUGUUUGGUUUGGUUUGGUAUUUGGUGUUUGGUUUGGUGUUUGGUUUGGUGUUUGGUUUGGUGUUUGGUAUUUGGUGUUUGUUUUGGUAUUUGGUGUUUGGUUUGGUUUGGUAUUUGGUGUUUGGUUUGGUAUUUGGUGUUUGGUUUGGUAUUUGGUGUUUGGUUUGGUGUUUGGUUUGGUAUUUGGUGUUUGGUUUGGUGUUUGGUGUUUGGUUUGGUGUUUGGUUUGGUUUGGUAUUUGGUUUGGUUUGGUGUUUGGU